UUCCUUCCUUUCAUUUUCCUCUUUUUCUCUUCUUGUCCCCUUCUUCGGGAUAAAUUGGCUAAGAAUGCCUUUUUGGAGCUAAUUAUGUCAUUUCGAGGAUAAUUAGCUAAGUAUAGGUUAUUUUUUACUAAAUAGGCCAUUUUGGAGCUAACCAAGCUAAUUAUGUCAUUUCGUAGGAUAAUUAGCCAAUUUAGCCUUUCUUGGAUAAGUCUAAGCUAUGUAGAAGAAGAGAUAGAGAAGAAGAAGUAAAAUAAGGAGGAGGAGGAGGAGGAGGAGGAGGAGGAGAAGAAGAAGGAAGAGGAGAAGAAGAAGAAAAUAAGAAGGAGAAGGAGAAGA
This 336-nucleotide long non-coding RNA is filed under the name Hordeum vulgare. RNAcentral describes it as "long non-coding RNA (HVUL_LNC010283)". Lineage: Eukaryota; Viridiplantae; Streptophyta; Magnoliopsida; Poales; Poaceae. The record is from RNAcentral.